AGAAUAUGUUGACCUUUUGGAGCUAGUGAUGAAUCAAGAACAGUGGGAAUACUCAAAAAGAUGCUUCCAUAAGGCUUCUCCAGGCUAGUCCAACUAUCCUCAAGAACGAAAUGGUGGCAAUCUGUAUCGGGGGGCAAAACGUUGGCUUUGACUCCCAUAUGAAUGGAAAGAAAAGAAGGUGCCUUGACAUAGGUUCUUUGGAAGUUUUUCUCCGUUUCUGGGAGAUCAUCCAUUUUCA
RNAcentral lists this unclassified non-coding RNA (238 nucleotides) under Hevea brasiliensis (rubber tree). Lineage: Eukaryota; Viridiplantae; Streptophyta; Magnoliopsida; Malpighiales; Euphorbiaceae. The record is from RNAcentral.